GGCUGAUUAGCUCAGUCGGUUAAAGCGUGGUGCUAGUAAAGCCAAGGUCACAGGUUCGAUCCCCAUAUAGGCCA
RNAcentral lists this transfer RNA (74 nucleotides) under Apaloderma vittatum (bar-tailed trogon). It matches the Rfam family "tRNA". Rfam says of the family: Transfer RNA (tRNA) molecules are approximately 80 nucleotides in length. Their secondary structure includes four short double-helical elements and three loops (D, anti-codon, and T loops). The record is from Rfam by way of RNAcentral. Lineage: Eukaryota; Metazoa; Chordata; Aves; Trogoniformes; Trogonidae.